GGGCGUGUAGCUCAGUGGUAGAGCUCUGGUUUACACACCAGCGGUCGGGGUUCGAAACCCUCCGCGCGCCCA
This 72-nucleotide transfer RNA is filed under the name Rhodococcus (subgen. Prescottella) equi. RNAcentral describes it as "Rhodococcus hoagii tRNA-OTHER". It matches the Rfam family "tRNA". From Rfam's summary of the family: Transfer RNA (tRNA) molecules are approximately 80 nucleotides in length. Their secondary structure includes four short double-helical elements and three loops (D, anti-codon, and T loops). Further hydrogen bonds mediate the characteristic L-shaped molecular structure. tRNAs have two regions of fundamental functional importance: the anti-codon, which is responsible for specific mRNA codon recognition, and the 3' end, to which the tRNAs corresponding amino acid is attached (by aminoacyl-tRNA synthetases). tRNAs cope with the degeneracy of the genetic code in two manners: having more than one tRNA (with a specific anti-codon) for a particular amino acid; and 'wobble' base-pairing, i.e. permitting non-standard base-pairing at the 3rd anti-codon position. Lineage: Bacteria; Bacillati; Actinomycetota; Actinomycetes; Mycobacteriales; Nocardiaceae. The record is from RNAcentral.